RNAcentral lists this ribosomal RNA (258 nucleotides) under uncultured bacterium. Its description in RNAcentral is "partial 16S ribosomal RNA". It matches the Rfam family "Bacterial small subunit ribosomal RNA", at positions 99 to 354 of the family's 1533-position model. The record is from RNAcentral.
CGGACGGGUGAGUAACGCGUGGGGAACCUGCCCUGUACCGGGGGAUAGCAGCCGGAAACGGCUGAUAAUACCGCAUAAGCGCACGAAUGUCGCAUGACAUGGUGUGAAAAACUCCGGUGGUAUAGGAUGGACCCGCGUCUGAUUAGCCUGUUGGUGGGGUAAAAGCCUACCAAAGCGAAGAUCAGUAGCCGAGUUGAGAGACUGACCGGCCACAUUGGGACUGAGACACGGCCCAGACUCCUACGGGAGGCAGCAGAU